UACGUAGGGGGCGAGCGUUGUCCGGAUUUAUUGGGCGUAAAGAGCUCGUAGGCGGUUCCGUGAGUCGGCUGUGAAAUCUCCACGCUCAACGUGGAGGGGUCAGUCGAUACUGCGGUGACUCGAGUCCGGUAGGGGAGUGUGGAAUUCCCGGUGUAGCGGUGAAAUGCGCAGAGAUCGGGAGGAACACCCGUAGCGAAGGCGGCACUCUGGGCCGGUACUGACGCUGAGGAGCGAAAGCGUGGGGAGCAAACAGGAUUAGAAACCCCAGUAGUCC
This 274-nucleotide ribosomal RNA is filed under the name uncultured bacterium. RNAcentral describes it as "partial 16S ribosomal RNA". It matches the Rfam family "Bacterial small subunit ribosomal RNA", at positions 524 to 796 of the family's 1533-position model. The record is from RNAcentral.